AAGUCGUAACAAGGUUUCCGUAGGUGAACCUGCGGAAGGAUCAUUAACACGUAUCCAACGUUAAACAACCCUGUGAACUUUAAGUCCCCUCUUGCAGCCCAUGAGGAACAGCAAUCCCGGUAAAUCAUUGCCAAACAGUUUUGAUUCGGGACCUCUGUCCAAAAGGAGUUGCAAUCGAAGGGUGGAAGCAGUGGCAUGGCUUCCCCAAGCAGUUAGUGAAUGACAGUGUCACUGACUGUGUAAGGAUAACGCCUCACGGUUGCUAGCAGACAUGUCACAGGGUCACCACGCCCCUUAAUCACUCCACUUGAAAAUGCCCCGCCUAGUGGUAACGCGCUAGGUAAAAAAAACCGAACAACUGUUAACAAUGGAUAUCUUGGUUCUC
Molecule: unclassified non-coding RNA, 385 nt
Filed under: fungal sp.
Lineage: Eukaryota; Fungi
Description: partial internal transcribed spacer region
Rfam family: Eukaryotic small subunit ribosomal RNA (bases 1-46)
Source: RNAcentral